RNAcentral lists this transfer RNA (71 nucleotides) under Loxodonta africana (African savanna elephant). It matches the Rfam family "tRNA". Rfam says of the family: Transfer RNA (tRNA) molecules are approximately 80 nucleotides in length. Their secondary structure includes four short double-helical elements and three loops (D, anti-codon, and T loops). The record is from Rfam by way of RNAcentral. Lineage: Eukaryota; Metazoa; Chordata; Mammalia; Proboscidea; Elephantidae.
GCAGUGAUGAUUCAGUGGUAGAAUUCUUGCCUUCCACAUGGGAGACCUGGGUUCCAUUCCCAGCUAACGCA